CACGUAGGGGGCGAGCGUUGUCCGGAUUUAUUGGGCGUAAAGAGCUCGUAGGCGGUUCGACAAGUCGGAUGUGAAAUCUCCACGCUCAACGUGGAGGGGCCAUUCGAAACUGUCGUGACUUGAGUCCGGUAGGGGAGUGUGGAAUUCCCGGUGUAGCGGUGAAAUGCGCAGAGAUCGGGAGGAACACCCGGGGCGAAGGCGGCCCUCUGGCUCGACCCUGACGCUGAGGCGCGAAAGCGUGGGGAGCGAACGGG
This 254-nucleotide ribosomal RNA is filed under the name uncultured bacterium. RNAcentral's name for it is "partial 16S ribosomal RNA". It matches the Rfam family "Bacterial small subunit ribosomal RNA", at positions 524 to 776 of the family's 1533-position model. The record is from RNAcentral.